AUGUUGAAGCAGGAGCGUAAUGACAUGAAUCACAAGACCAAGAUGGAGGAGAUCCGCAUGGAAGGGAAUAUAAUGCAAGACCGCGUUCUACAACUCGAGCGUGGUAAGAUGGGCUUCAAUAACAUCCAGACGCGUGUGGGCAUGGACCUUAACUUACCACAUGACCGCAAUGAUCUGGAUUACAAGGCCAAGAUGGAGGAGACCCGCAUGGAAGGAAAUACGAUACAAGACCAUGCUAAUACACGCCUGAAGCAGGCUCAGCAGGAUGACAAGGCCAAGAUGGAGGAGAUCCGCAUGAAAGAGGGUAUGAUGCAAGACCAUGCUAGUACAGGCACGAAGGAACAACAAGACAUCCCUACACCAGAGCAAUCUGUCUCAUCAGUACCUCUACAGGUAGAACAAGAGAUCUGUACACCAGAGCAAUCUAUCUCAUCCUACGUAGUUGUAAUGCAAUUUAUUGUUCAUGUGGACGAAGAACUUUCUCAUGUUCCUGAAGCAUACCACAACAAGAAACCUGGUAUGAUGACAGUACUUGAACCUGCCAAGGUGGACUGGCAGAUAAUGGUGAAAAAUUUGCGUUACCAUGGGUACAAAGGGGAAGCAGAUUUGUACUACAUCAAGCCUGGGUGCGUACCACCAAAAGGAAUGGUAAAGAUGUCAGGCCAGCAUGACGUCGAUGAAAUGUUGCACACUUUAGAAGGGAUAAAGAAAUGUCAUUUGUACAUUGUGAAGAAUUGUGCAUUCCCAAAUUAUAGCGACGAUGACAUGUCUGAACAGGACAUGUCCGAAGAAGACAUAUAUGCAUGUGGGUACAUGGAUAUCGGCGAGAGGGACAUGGGCGAAUAUGGGUCAUUGCCCAAAAGGAAGAAAAUUGCAGAUAACAAUACGAAGAAAGCAUUGGAUUUCGGCAGCAGUGAUGAGCCUCUUCAGUAG
This 933-nucleotide ribosomal RNA is filed under the name Triticum aestivum (bread wheat). RNAcentral's name for it is "partial small subunit ribosomal RNA". The record is from RNAcentral. Lineage: Eukaryota; Viridiplantae; Streptophyta; Magnoliopsida; Poales; Poaceae.